Molecule: long non-coding RNA, 2455 nt
Filed under: Homo sapiens (human)
Lineage: Eukaryota; Metazoa; Chordata; Mammalia; Primates; Hominidae
Description: HSALNT0059240
Source: RNAcentral
AGUUUCAUAAGAUCUGAUGGUUUUAUAAAUGGGAAUUCCCUUGCAAAAGCCCUCUUGCCUGCCGCCAUGUAAGACAUGCCUUUGCUUCUCCUUUGUCUUCUGCCAUGAUUGUGAGGCCUCCUCAGCCAUGGAACUUAGAAUGACUCCUGCCUGCUACAUUUCCCCAGAUACCCAGGACCUUCAUGCUGUCACUCUCCAUGACCUGACCAACAUCUAUUUUGAGAAAUUAUUUUAUAUACUCAUUCAAACAGUCAUCUUUUGUGUCCAGAGUUGGUUCCUUCUGGUGGGUUCGUGGUCUCGCUAACUUCAAGAAUGGAGCCACGGACCUUCGCGAAACUGCAAGUCUCCCUCUCCAAACCAAAUUCCUGAGACUGGAGCCCUGACCUGAGACUGGAGGUGAUCCAAAUGCUGAUAGUCAUCCUUAUUGCCACUAUCCCACUCUGCAUUUCCUGGUUGGAUAAACAUCUAAGAAAAUGCUGGUUUUGUCUUCAUCCAUGCAUACUUCUCCAUCUGCUUUCCAGUCUAUGCUCUCACAUACUGUGUCUGAAAGCCUGAACUAGGCCAGGCGCAUUGGCUCAUGCCUGUAGUCCUAGCAUUUUGGGAAGCUGAGGCAGGUGGAUCACCUGAGGUCAGGAGUUCCAGAUCAGCCUGGCCAACAUGGUGAAACCCCAUCUCUACUAAAAAUACAAAAAAAUUAGCCAUGUGUGGUGGUUCACACCAGUAAUCCCAGCUACAAGGGAAGCUGAGGCAGGAGAAUUACUUGAACCCAGGAGGUGGAGGUUGCAGUGAGCCAAGAUCGCACCACUGUACUCCAGCCUGGGUGACAGAAGAGACUCCGCCUCAAAAAAGUAAAAUAAAAUGAAAUGAAAGCCUGGACUACUCUCCAUCACCUGCAGCCAGAAUAUCCUUUGCCAGAACUUGUAUGACUUCCAUGAGCACAAGCAGCUCUGGGUUGUGGUUAUUCCAAUUUGGUCCAUUUAUUGAAUGAAAGCUAUCUGUGCCAUAGGCACAAGAUACAGUUCCUUUCAAAUUCUCCACUCAAACUUCUUUACCAGGAAACCUAAAACUAAAACUAAGCAUAAGCAAAACAGUAGUUGCAAAAGUAAAAUUGUUUCCCAUUAUCUGGGCAUAUUAUAGUUUCAAAUGUCCAUUUGCCCUUUUGAGGCCAAAUGCUAUCAGGACAGAGGUCACCUUUUCCUUUAAAUUCGUGAUAAUGUAAGAAAUACUCAUGAUAAGAUGAUUAUCCUUAGAAUACUCACAGCAAAGCUGAAACUACUCUUGAUGAAUACAGUUAUACGUGAUAACCUAAGGAAGAACUCUCUAGAGUAACAACAAUCUCACUCCUACAGCCACUAGAGGAAGUAUCUCCUAUAAUUCUCCCAAGGCAACCUCUUCUCGUCUCCCCUCUGCCUUUCUUUCCUCUUUUCCUCUUUUUUUCUCAUCCUCUUUUUCUCUCUCUUUCCUGUACAAAAUACUCUGUUCAUAUGAUGCAUAAAUUGUGUUUCAUUCAAGAUUGUAGCUGGAGAAGAAAUUAUUUUUGUAUUCAGUGCCUGUCUAUGUCCCCUCUGCUUCAUCUGUCAAUAUUGCCAGAACAUUAGAGCUAGAGGCUGUAUAGGUCUUUGGCAGAGCAAUUCUCUGAGGAACCUAGGGAAACUCUAGAAUAAAAAUGCAAUACAAUGUGGCCAAAUUUACAAAUGGAUACCCAUGUGGGAACAUUGUUUAUGAAAUCUUAACAUUCAAUUGAUCCAAACCAGUGAAGGCUGUCCUAACGCCGUGCAAAAUUAGUGGAUCAGUGUAUUAUAAUCUCGUUUAUGUCCCUUGAUUAGAUAGAUAAGCUACCAUGAAUCAGACCAACCACUAUUUAAACAUUAUCUGGUAGGGCAACAGUCAUAUGGACAAAUUUCAGAUAUCAAGAACAGAAAGGGAAGUGCCACAGUGAAAACAGAAAUGGACUGUGAGGAGUUGAGAAGCUUGCAAUCUAGAACACCAAAGACAUUUGAUCACACUUUUCAUCUUUUAUCCUCCACACUACUUAGCUCUUAUGAGCUAUCAAAACCAUUAUUUAAGAGACAGAGCUUCAGGAUAGCAUUCUUAGCAUUCUUAAGUUCUGUGCUGACAUCUCUGAGGACUUAGGUAACACGAAUUACUGUUGGGUUUGCUUCAUGAUGGUACUAACAACAAACUACAAACCAUGAGGCAGGAUACUGAGUUUCUAAAAGAUUUAUUUAAAGAUUCAUUUGAAUACUUUCCAUUACUAAUAUUAUUGUAUUAGUCUGUUCUCAUGCUGCCAAUAAAGACAUACCUGAGACUGAGUAAUUUAUAAAGGAAAGAUGUUUAAUGGAUUCACAGUUCCACAUGGCUAGGGAAGCCUCACAAUCAUGGAAGAAAGCAAAGGAGAAGCAAAGGCAAGUUUUACAUGGCAGCAGGUAAGAGAGCUUGUGAAGGGGGAACUCCC